This 253-nucleotide ribosomal RNA is filed under the name Catenaria anguillulae. RNAcentral describes it as "partial large subunit ribosomal RNA". The record is from RNAcentral. Lineage: Eukaryota; Fungi; Blastocladiomycota; Blastocladiomycetes; Blastocladiales; Catenariaceae.
CCCAUGGCAUGUCCGUGAAUGUAAAGUCCACUGGGAAUGUGGCAGCGCUUCGUGCGUUCUUUGGGUCAGAGAGGGUGAAAACCCCGUUUACAUUCAUUGUGGGGCGUGUCUGUUGUGUGGGCGUGUUGAAGAGUCGGAUUGUUUGGGAAUGCAAUCCAAAACAGGGUCCUAAAUACCGACUACCACUAAUAUAUUUAACAUAUAUACNNGGGGGGGGGGGGGGGGGAUUNUUGUUGGUUUUUUUUUUUUUAGU